Phlebotomus papatasi is the source of this 142-nucleotide non-coding RNA. Lineage: Eukaryota; Metazoa; Arthropoda; Insecta; Diptera; Psychodidae. The record is from Rfam.
AGCUUUGCGCAGAGGCGAUAUCGUAACCAAUGAGGUUUAUCCGAGGUGCGAUUAUUGCUAGUUGAAAACUUAUGACCAAUGUCCCGCCAUACAGCUAUGAAAUACUAGCUGGUAUGGCAAUUUUUGGAAGCCCCGAAAGGGG